UUUCUCCGCCGGCGACCGGCGCACGGGUGAGUAACACGUAUGCAACCUGCCCUGUCAGGGGGACAACCCGCCGAAAGGCGGGCUAAACCCGCGUACAUGCCACCGGGGCAUCCCGGAGGCAGGAAAGGCUUCGGCCGGACAGGGAUGGGCAUGCGGCGCAUUAGGCAGUAGGCGGGGUAACGGCCCACCUAACCGACGAUGCGUAGGGGUUCUGAGAGGAAGGUCCCCCACACUGGUACUGAGACACGGACCAGACUCCUACGGGAGGCAGCAG
This 274-nucleotide ribosomal RNA is filed under the name uncultured bacterium. Its description in RNAcentral is "partial 16S ribosomal RNA". It matches the Rfam family "Bacterial small subunit ribosomal RNA", at positions 80 to 354 of the family's 1533-position model. The record is from RNAcentral.